RNAcentral lists this ribosomal RNA (400 nucleotides) under uncultured bacterium. Its description in RNAcentral is "bacterial SSU rRNA". It matches the Rfam family "Bacterial small subunit ribosomal RNA", at positions 355 to 764 of the family's 1533-position model. The record is from RNAcentral.
UGGGGAAUAUUGCGCAAUGGGCGAAAGCCUGACGCAGCCACGCCGCGUGAGUGAUGAAGGCCUUCGGGUUGUAAAGCUCUGUCGGGAGGGACGAAGGGGAAACCCUGACGGUACCUCGCAAGAAAGCACCGGCUAACUCUGUGCCAGCAGCCGCGGUAAUACAGAGGGUGCAAGCGUUGCUCGGAUUUACUGGGCGUAAAGCGUACGCAGACGGUGAGAAAGGUCGGAUGUGAAAGCCCCGGGCUCAACCCGGGAACUGCAUCCGAAACCAUCUCGCUCGAGUGUGGGAGAGGGAAGCGGAAUUCCUGGUGUAGAGGUGAAAUUCGUAGAUAUCAGGAGGAACAUCUGCGGCGAAGGCGGCUUCCUGGCCCAUUACUGACGUUCAGGUACGAAAGCGUGG